GAACGUACGCUGGCGGCACGCCUAACACAUGCAAGUCGAACGAAGUAGUAAUACUUAGUGGCAGACGGGUGAGUAACAUGUAGGUAUCUGCCCUUUGGCCUGGAAUAACACGAGGAAACUUGUGCUAAUACCGGAUAAGUCUUUACGGAGAAAGCUUUAUGCACCAUUGGAUGAGCCUGCACUUGAUUAGUUUGUUGGUGGGGUAAUGGCCUACCAAGACUGUGAUCAAUAGCUGAUUUGAGAGGAUGAUCAGCCACAUUGGGACUGAGACACGGCCCAGACUCCUACGGGAGGCAGCAGUGGGGAAUCUUGCACAAUGGAGGAAACUCUGAUGCAGCGAUGCCGCGUGAGUGAAGAAGGCCUUUGGGUUGUAAAGCUCUUUCGUCGGGGAAGAAAAUGACUGUACCCGAAUAAGAAGGUCCGGCUAACUUCGUGCCAGCAGCCGCGGUAAUACGAAGGGACCUAGCGUAGUUCGGAAUUACUGGGCUUAAAGAGUUCGUAGGUGGUUGAAAAAGUUAGUGGUGAAAUCCCAGAGCUUAACUCUGGAACUGCCAUUAAAACUUUUCAGCUAGAGUAUGAUAGAGGAAAGCAGAAUUUCUAGUGUAGAGGUGAAAUUCGUAGAUAUUAGAAAGAAUACCAAUUGCGAAGGCAGCUUUCUGGAUCAUUACUGACACUGAGGAACGAAAGCAUGGGUAGCGAAGAGGAUUAGAUACCCUCGUAGUCCAUGCCGUAAACGAUGUGUGUUAGACGUUGGAAAUUUAUUUUCAGUGUCGCAGCGAAAGCGAUAAACACACCGCCUGGGGAGUACGACCGCAAGGUUAAAACUCAAAUGAAUUGACGGGGACCCGCACAAGUAGUGGAGCAUGUGGUUUAAUUCGAAGAUACGCGCAGAACCUUACCAACACUUGACAUGUUCGUCGCGACUCUAAGAGAUUAGAGUUUUCGGUUCGGCCGGACGAAACACAGGUGCUGCAUGGCUGUCGUCAGCUCGUGUCGUGAGAUGUUGGGUUAAGUCCCGCAACGAGCGCAACCCUCACUUUUAGUUGCCAUCAUUAAGUUGGGCACUCUGAAAGAACUGCCAGUGAUAAGCUGGAGGAAGGUGGGGAUGACGUCAAGUCCUCAUGGCCCUUACGUGUUGGGCUACACACGUGCUACAAUGGUAUCUACAACAGGAAGCAAAACUGCGAAGUUAAGCAAAUCCCUAAAAGAUACCUCAGUUCGGAUUGCACUCUGCAACUCGAGUGCAUGAAGCUGGAAUUACUAGUAAUCGUGGAUCAGCGUGCCACGGUGAAUGCGUUCCCGGGUCUUGUACACACCGC
RNAcentral lists this ribosomal RNA (1319 nucleotides) under uncultured Alphaproteobacteria bacterium. RNAcentral's name for it is "bacterial SSU rRNA". It matches the Rfam family "Bacterial small subunit ribosomal RNA", at positions 27 to 1393 of the family's 1533-position model. Lineage: Bacteria; Pseudomonadati; Pseudomonadota; Alphaproteobacteria. The record is from RNAcentral.